RNAcentral lists this microRNA (23 nucleotides) under Caenorhabditis elegans. Its description in RNAcentral is "cel-miR-1829b-5p". Lineage: Eukaryota; Metazoa; Nematoda; Chromadorea; Rhabditida; Rhabditidae. The record is from miRBase by way of RNAcentral.
AAGCGAUCUUCUAGAUGGUUGUA